GUAACAAGGUUUCCGUAGGUGAACCUGCGGAAGGAUCAUUACCGAGUGUAGGGUUCCUAGCGAGCCCAACCUCCCACCCGUGUUUACUGUACCUUAGUUGCUUCGGCGGGCCCGCCAUUCAUGGCCGCCGGGGGCUCUCAGCCCCGGGCCCGCGCCCGCCGGAGACACCACGAACUCUGUCUGAUCUAGUGAAGUCUGAGUUGAUUGUAUCGCAAUCAGUUAAAACUUUCAACAAUGGAUCUCUUGGUUCCGGCAUCGAUGAAGAACGCAGCGAAAUGCGAUAACUAGUGUGAAUUGCAGAAUUCCGUGAAUCAUCGAGUCUUUGAACGCACAUUGCGCCCCCUGGUAUUCCGGGGGGCAUGCCUGUCCGAGCGUCAUUGCUGCCCAUCAAGCACGGCUUGUGUGUUGGGUCGUCGUCCCCUCUCCGGGGGGGACGGGCCCCAAAGGCAGCGGCGGCACCGCGUCCGAUCCUCGAGCGUAUGGGGCUUUGUCACCCGCUCUGUAGGCCCGGCCGGCGCUUGCCGAACGCAAAUCAAUCUUUUUCCAGGUUGACCUCGGAUCAGGUAGGGAUACCCGCUGAACUUAAGCAUAU
This 592-nucleotide ribosomal RNA is filed under the name Aspergillus oryzae. RNAcentral's name for it is "eukaryotic LSU rRNA". The stretch from base 224 to 377 matches the Rfam family "5.8S ribosomal RNA". Lineage: Eukaryota; Fungi; Ascomycota; Eurotiomycetes; Eurotiales; Aspergillaceae. The record is from RNAcentral.